RNAcentral lists this transfer RNA (76 nucleotides) under Fusobacteriaceae bacterium. Its description in RNAcentral is "tRNA-Lys". It matches the Rfam family "tRNA". From Rfam's summary of the family: Transfer RNA (tRNA) molecules are approximately 80 nucleotides in length. Their secondary structure includes four short double-helical elements and three loops (D, anti-codon, and T loops). Further hydrogen bonds mediate the characteristic L-shaped molecular structure. tRNAs have two regions of fundamental functional importance: the anti-codon, which is responsible for specific mRNA codon recognition, and the 3' end, to which the tRNAs corresponding amino acid is attached (by aminoacyl-tRNA synthetases). tRNAs cope with the degeneracy of the genetic code in two manners: having more than one tRNA (with a specific anti-codon) for a particular amino acid; and 'wobble' base-pairing, i.e. permitting non-standard base-pairing at the 3rd anti-codon position. Lineage: Bacteria; Fusobacteriati; Fusobacteriota; Fusobacteriia; Fusobacteriales; Fusobacteriaceae. The record is from RNAcentral.
GCGUCAUUAGCUCAGUUGGUAGAGCACACGACUUUUAAUCGUGUUGUCGUAGGUUCAAUCCCUACAUGACGCACCA